RNAcentral lists this ribosomal RNA (468 nucleotides) under uncultured bacterium. RNAcentral describes it as "partial 16S ribosomal RNA". It matches the Rfam family "Bacterial small subunit ribosomal RNA", at positions 28 to 507 of the family's 1533-position model. The record is from RNAcentral.
GACGAACGCUGGCGGCGUGCUUAACACAUGCAAGUCGAACGGAAAGGCCCUGCUUUUGUGGGGUGCUCGAGUGGCGAACGGGUGAGUAACACGUGAGUAACCUGCCCUUGACUUUGGGAUAACUUCAGGAAACUGGGGCUAAUACCGGAUAGGAGCUCCUGCUGCAUGGUGGGGGUUGGAAAGUUUCGGCGGUUGGGGAUGGACUCGCGGCUUAUCAGCUUGUUGGUGGGGUAGUGGCUUACCAAGGCUUUGACGGGUAGCCGGGCUGAGAGGGUGACCGGCCACAUUGGGACUGAGAUGAGGCCCAGACUCCUACGGGAGGCAGCAGUGGGGAAUAUUGCACAAUGGGCGGAAGCCUGAUGCAGCAACGCCGCGUGCGGGAUGACGGCCUUCGGGUUGUAAACCGCUUUCGCCUGUGACGAAGCGUGAGUGACGGUAAUGGGUAAAGAAGCACCGGCUAACUACGUG